RNAcentral lists this transfer RNA (76 nucleotides) under Dehalococcoidia bacterium. Its description in RNAcentral is "tRNA-Ala". It matches the Rfam family "tRNA". Rfam says of the family: Transfer RNA (tRNA) molecules are approximately 80 nucleotides in length. The record is from RNAcentral. RNAcentral also lists the same sequence under 1 other name. Lineage: Bacteria; Bacillati; Chloroflexota; Dehalococcoidia.
GGGGGUGUAGCUCAGUUGGGAGAGCGUCGCGUUCGCAAUGCGAAGGUCAGGGGUUCGAAUCCCCUCAUCUCCACCA